UACGGGGGGAGCUAGCGUUAUUCGGAAUUACUGGGCGUAAAGCGCGCGUAGGCGGUUUUUCAAGUCAGGGGUGAAAGCCCGGAGCUCAACUCCGGAACUGCCCUUGAAACUGGAUGACUUGAAUCAUGGAGAGGUGAGUGGAAUUCCGAGUGUAGAGGUGAAAUUCGUAGAUAUUCGGAAGAACACCAGUGGCGAAGGCGACUCACUGGACAUGUAUUGACGCUGAGGUGCGAAAGCGUGGGGAGCAAACAGG
Molecule: ribosomal RNA, 253 nt
Filed under: uncultured bacterium
Lineage: Bacteria
Description: partial 16S ribosomal RNA
Rfam family: Bacterial small subunit ribosomal RNA
Source: RNAcentral